Molecule: ribosomal RNA, 869 nt
Filed under: uncultured archaeon
Lineage: Archaea
Description: bacterial SSU rRNA
Rfam family: Archaeal small subunit ribosomal RNA
Source: RNAcentral
CUCCGGUUGAUCUGGCCCGACCCGACUGCUAUCAGAGUGGGACUAAGCCAUGCGAGUCAACGCAGCAAUGCGUGGCAUACGGCUCAGUAACACGUAGUCAACAUGCCCAGGGGACGUGGAUAACCUCGGGAAACUGAGGAUAAACCGCGAUAGGCCAAGGUUUCUGGAAUGGACACUGGCUGAAACCUACAUGGCCCCUGGAUUGGACUGCGGCCGAUCAGGCUGUUGGUGAGGUAAUGGCCCACCAAACCUGUAACCGGUACGGGCUUUGAGAGAAGGAGCCCGGAGAUGGGCACUGAGACAAGGGCCCAGGCCCUAUGGGGCGCAGCAGGCGCGAAACCUCUGCAAUAGGCGAAAGCUUGACAGGGUUACUCUGAGUGAUGCCCGCUAAGGGCAUCUUUUGGCACCUCUAAAAAUGGUGCAGAAUAAGGGGUGGGCAAGUCUGGUGUCAGCCGCCGCGGUAAUACCAGCACCCCGAGUGGUCGGGACGAUUAUUGGGCCUAAAGCAUCCGUAGCUUGUUCUGCAAGUCCUCCGUUAAAUCCACCUGCUCAACAGAUGGGCUGCGGGGGAUACUACAGGGCUAGGAGGCGGGAGAGGCAAACGGUACUCAGUGGGUAGGGGUAAAAUCCUCUGAUCCACUGAAGACCACCAGUGGCGAAGGCGGUUUGCCAGAACGCGCUCGACGGUGAGGGAUGAAAGCUGGGGGAGCAAACCGGAUUAGAUACCCGGGUAGUCCCAGCUGUAAACGAUGCAGACUCGGUGAUGGGUUGGCUUUGAGCCAACCCAGUGCCGCAGGGAAGCCGUUAAGUCUGCCGCCUGGGGAGUACGGUCGCAAGACUGAAACUUAAAGGAAUUGGCGGGGGGAGCA